Otolemur garnettii (small-eared galago) is the source of this 107-nucleotide small nuclear RNA. The record is from Ensembl. Lineage: Eukaryota; Metazoa; Chordata; Mammalia; Primates; Galagidae.
GUGCUCGCUUCGGCAGCACAUAUACGAAAAUUGGAAAGAUACAGAGAAGAUUAGCAUGGCCCCUGCACAAGGAUGCCAGGCAAAUUCAUGAAGCAUUCCAUAUUAAA